UACGUAGGGUGCGAGCGUUAAUCGGAAUUACUGGGCGUAAAGCGUGCGCAGGCGGUUCGUCGUGUCUCGUGUGAAAGCCCCGGGCUCAACCUGGGAAUGGCAUGGGAAACUGGCGAACUGGAGUGUGGCAGAGGGGGGUGGAAUUCCGCGUGUAGCAGUGAAAUGCGUAGAGAUGCGGAGGAACACCGAUGGCGAAGGCAGCCCCCUGGGCUGACACUGACGCUCAGGCACGAAAGCGUGGGGAG
RNAcentral lists this ribosomal RNA (245 nucleotides) under uncultured Zoogloea sp. RNAcentral describes it as "partial 16S ribosomal RNA". It matches the Rfam family "Bacterial small subunit ribosomal RNA", at positions 524 to 768 of the family's 1533-position model. Lineage: Bacteria; Pseudomonadati; Pseudomonadota; Betaproteobacteria; Rhodocyclales; Zoogloeaceae. The record is from RNAcentral.